GAUGAAGAACGUAGUGAAAUGCGAUAAGUAAUGUGAAUUGCAGAAUUCAGUGAAUCAUCGAAUCUUUGAACGCACAUUGCGCCCCCUGGUAUUCCGGGGGGCAUGCCUGUUCGAGCGUCAUUCCACCACUCAAGCCUCGCUUGGUAUUGGGCAUCGCGGUCCGCCGCGCGCCUCAAAUCGACCGGCUGGGUCUUCUGUCCCCUAAGCGUUGUGGAAACUAUUCGCUAAAGGGUGUUCGGGAGGCUACGCCGUAAAACAACCCCAUUUCUAAGGUUGACCUCGGAUCAGGUAGGGAUACCCGCUGAACUUAAGCAUAUCAAUAAGCGGAGGA
This 331-nucleotide unclassified non-coding RNA is filed under the name soil metagenome. Its description in RNAcentral is "partial contains 5.8S ribosomal RNA, internal transcribed spacer 2, and large subunit ribosomal RNA". The stretch from base 1 to 120 matches the Rfam family "5.8S ribosomal RNA", at positions 35 to 154 of the family's 154-position model. The record is from RNAcentral.